GGUCCCGUAGUGUAGCGGGUAUCACGUCGCCCUGUCACGGCGAAGAUCGCGGGUUCGAUCCCCGUCGGGACCG
Molecule: transfer RNA, 73 nt
Filed under: Streptococcus pneumoniae
Lineage: Bacteria; Bacillati; Bacillota; Bacilli; Lactobacillales; Streptococcaceae
Description: tRNA-Asp(gtc)
Rfam family: tRNA
About the family: Transfer RNA (tRNA) molecules are approximately 80 nucleotides in length. Their secondary structure includes four short double-helical elements and three loops (D, anti-codon, and T loops). Further hydrogen bonds mediate the characteristic L-shaped molecular structure. tRNAs have two regions of fundamental functional importance: the anti-codon, which is responsible for specific mRNA codon recognition, and the 3' end, to which the tRNAs corresponding amino acid is attached (by aminoacyl-tRNA synthetases). tRNAs cope with the degeneracy of the genetic code in two manners: having more than one tRNA (with a specific anti-codon) for a particular amino acid; and 'wobble' base-pairing, i.e. permitting non-standard base-pairing at the 3rd anti-codon position.
Source: RNAcentral